Molecule: ribosomal RNA, 522 nt
Filed under: Triticum aestivum (bread wheat)
Lineage: Eukaryota; Viridiplantae; Streptophyta; Magnoliopsida; Poales; Poaceae
Description: partial small subunit ribosomal RNA
Source: RNAcentral
AUGGUGCCGCCUGUGUACCAGGAGCCUAGUAUCAUGCCGAUCAAUACAAGAACGGAGAAGGAGUUGGAAGAAAAGGAGGUGUUAUGCACGCACAAAAAGCCCAAAGCUACAGGGUGUGUUGCCCAACUGCAGCAGGAAAUUGAACUCGCCAUUGAGAGUGAGAAUAAAGGGCAUGGUGAUCCUUCACCAAAAGAGUCUGCUUGUGUGGUGCUGAGCAAUGGUGAAGCAAAUGGUUGCAGUGAGGGGCAUGUUCUUGGCGGUGCAAAUGCAGAACCAGAAGCAAGGUUGAGACUGGCUCAACUCUGCAGUGCAAUUGGCUGGAAGAGUCCAACAUAUGAGUUUGAAGAACAUGGACAUGGCCAUACAAAACUGUUCACAUGCAAGGUGAGUGUUCUUGUGGAGACGUUCACAGACACUGUUGUGGAGUGCAUCAGUGAACCCAAACCCCAGAAGAGAGCUGCCGAGGAACAAGGUGCUGAAGGUGUGUUAUGGACCCUCAAGUGCCUUGGUCAUGUGAAAUAG